GGCUCAGAUUGAACGCUGGCGGAAUGCUUUACACAUGCAAGUCGAACGGCAGCACGAGAGCUUGCUCUUGGUGGCGAGUGGCGAACGGGUGAGUAAUAUAUCGGAACGUAUCCAAUAAUGGGGGAUAACUAAUCGAAAGGUUAGCUAAUACCGCAUACGCCCUACGGGGGAAAGCAGGGGAUCUUCGGACCUUGCGUUAAUGGAGCGGCUGAUAUCUGAUUAGCUAGUAGGUGAGGUAAAGGCUCACCUAGGCUUCGAUCAGUAGCUGGUCUGAGAGGACGACCAGCCACACUGGAACUGAGACACGGUCCAGACUCCUACGGGAGGCAGCAGUGGGGAAUUUUGGACAAUGGGCGCAAGCCUGAUCCAGCCAUUCCGCGUGAGUGAAGAAGGCCUUCGGGUUGUAAAGCUCUUUCGCAAGGGAAGAAACGAUACCGACGAAUAAUCGGUGUUAAUGACGGUACCUUGAUAAGAAGCACCGGCUAACUACGUG
RNAcentral lists this ribosomal RNA (493 nucleotides) under uncultured bacterium. Its description in RNAcentral is "bacterial SSU rRNA". It matches the Rfam family "Bacterial small subunit ribosomal RNA", at positions 21 to 507 of the family's 1533-position model. The record is from RNAcentral.